GCCUAAAAAGCUAGCCCUCAGUCAACAUAAUAACCACUGUUUUUAAGUUGGCAGAACUUUUAUAAUGAAGACAAACCAUUUUACCAUUUGAGUAUAGGAGAUAGAAAAGAGUCAUGGAGCUACACAAGGAGUACCGCAAGGGAAAGCUGAAAGAGAACUGAAACAACCCACUCAAGGCAGUUGAAGCAGAGCUUAACCCUCGUACCUUUUGCAUCAUGAUUUAGCUAGAAGCUUAUGAGCAAAGCGAGCUUUAAGUUCAAAACCCCGAAACCGAGCGAGCUACCUCGGGGCCGCCUAAUAGGGCAAACCCGUCCCUGUGGCAAAAGGGUGGGAGGACCCCCAGGUAGAGGUGACAGACCUACCGAGCGAGGUGAUAGCUGGUUCCCUGGGAAAAGAAUAGAAGUUCAGCCUUUAUUUUUUUAUUAUCAAGUAAGAACACUCAAAACAAGAGCAAUAAAAAUAUAAAGAGUAAUUCAAUAAAGGUACAGCUUUAUUGAACAAAGAUACAACUUUUAUGGAGGGUAAGGAUUAAAAGAGAAAGCAAGUUCACGAGUGGGCCUAAAAGCAGCCAUCUCAACAAAAAGCGUUAAAGCUUAAGAACACAAACCGCUAAAUUUGUACAACACAUUCCCACACCCCUUUCUAUACCAGGAUCGUCUAUGUGAAACAUAGUCAAAAUAAUGCUAAUAUGAGUAAUAAGGGGAUUGCCCCCCUCGAGUGCACCAGUGUAAGUCAGAUUAGACUCACUCCUGACCAUUAACGCCCCCAAACAGAGGGUAUUGAUUCACUUUUCAUGACCGAGAAACCCUAUCAGAUUAAAGCGUUACCCCUACACAGGCGUGCCCCUCGAAAGACAAAAAGAGUAAGAAGGAACUCGGCAAACACAGACCUCGCCUGUUUACCAAAAACAUCGCCUCUUGCAAAUUAGUAUAAGAGGUCCCGCCUGCCCUGUGACAAAUGUUUAACGGCCGCGGUAUUUUGACCGUGCAAAGGUAGCGUAAUAACUUGUCUUUUAAAUAGAGACCUGUAUGAAUGGCAUAACGAGGGUCAACCUGUCUCCUUACUUCAGUCGAUGAAAUUGAUCCCCCCGUGCAGAAGCGGGGCUAGUCCCAUAAGACGAGAAGACCCUAUGGAGCUUUUAGACGCCAGGGCACCCCAAGCCAAACCGCCCCCCUUAAAGGAAAAAGCAGAAUGCCCCUGCCCCAGUGUCUUUGGUUGGGGCGACUACGGAGUAAAACACAACCCCCGUGUGGAAAUAAACCACUAUUUUGAACCAAGGGCGUCAGCUCAAAGAACCAGAAAUUCUGACCACGCAGAUCCGGCAAAGCCGAUCAACGGACUUAGUUACCCUAGGGAUAACAGCGCAAUCCCCCUUUAGAGCCCCUAUCGACAGGGGGGUUUACGACCUCGAUGUUGGAUCAGGACAUCCUAAUGGUGCAGCCGCUAUUAAGGGUUC
Molecule: ribosomal RNA, 1456 nt
Filed under: Schindleria praematura (Schindler's fish)
Lineage: Eukaryota; Metazoa; Chordata; Actinopteri; Gobiiformes; Schindleriidae
Description: partial 16S ribosomal RNA
Rfam family: Bacterial large subunit ribosomal RNA
Source: RNAcentral